UGGGGAAUAUUGGACAAUGGGCGAAAGCCUGAUCCAGCCAUGCCGCGUGAGUGAUGAAGGCCUUAGGGUUGUAAAGCUCUUUCAGUGGGGAAGAUAAUGACGGUACCCACAGAAGAAGCCCCGGCUAACUUCGUGCCAGCAGCCGCGGUAAUACGAAGGGGGCUAGCGUUGUUCGGAUUUACUGGGCGUAAAGCGCACGUAGGCGGAUCGUUAAGUCGGGGUGAAAUCCUGGAGCUCAACUCCAGAACUGCCUUCGAUACUGGCGAUCUUGAGUCCGGAAGAGGUGAGUGGAACUCCUAGUGUAGAGGUGGAAUUCGUAGAUAUUAGGAAGAACACCAGUGGCGAAGGCGGCUCACUGGUCCGGUACUGACGCUGAGGUGCGAAAGCGUGGGGAGCAAACAG
This 402-nucleotide ribosomal RNA is filed under the name uncultured bacterium. RNAcentral describes it as "bacterial SSU rRNA". It matches the Rfam family "Bacterial small subunit ribosomal RNA", at positions 355 to 775 of the family's 1533-position model. The record is from RNAcentral.